GACGAACGCUGGCGGCGUGCUUAACACAUGCAAGUCGAACGGAAAGGCCCUGCUUUUGUGGGGUGCUCGAGUGGCGAACGGGUGAGUAACACGUGAGUAACCUGCCCUUGACUUUGGGAUAACUUCAGGAAACUGGGGCUAAUACCGGAUAGGAGCUCCUGCUGCAUGUUGUGUGUUGGAAAGUUUCGGCGGUUGGGGAUGGACUCGCGGCUUAUCAGCUUGUUGGUGGGGUAGUGGCUUACCAAGGCUUUGACGGGUAGCCGGCCUGAGAGGGUGACCGGCCACAUUGGGACUGAGAUACGGACCAGAGUCCUACGGGAGGCAGCAGUGGGGAAUAUUGCACAAUGGGCGGAAGCCUGAUGCAGCAACGCGGCGUGCGGGAUGACGGCCUUCGGGUUGUAAACAGCUUUCGCCUGUGACGAAGCGUGAGUGACGGUAAUGGGUAAAGAAGCACCGGCUAACUACGUG
Molecule: ribosomal RNA, 468 nt
Filed under: uncultured bacterium
Lineage: Bacteria
Description: partial 16S ribosomal RNA
Rfam family: Bacterial small subunit ribosomal RNA
Source: RNAcentral